UGGAAAUAGCCUGGGUCCUGGAAGCCCUGGUGAGUCAGGGGAGACAGGGAGGCACUGGCAGACUGUGCUUCCUGUUCAGUUCAGUUCAGUCGCUCAGUCGUGUCUGACUCUUUGCGACCCCAUGGACGGCAGGCUUCCCUCUCCAUCACCAAUUCCCAGAGUUUACUCAAACUCAUGUCCAUUGAGUCAGUGAUGCCAUCCAACCAUCUCAUACUCUGUCGUCCCCUUCUCCUCAUGCCCCCAAUCCCUCCCAGCAUCAGGGUCUUUUCAAAUGAGUCGGUUCUUCACAUCAGGUGGCCAAAGUAUUGGAGCUUCAGCUUCGACAUCAGCCCUUCCAAUGAAUAUUCAGGACAGAAUAUUUGGUGCUUCCUGACCUUGAGCCAAUUCCAUCAUCCCCUAAGACCCCAUUGUAUCAUCUUUCACCAGAAGGAAUUUAAAUUCCAUACCGGGUCCCCUGGGUGACAGGUAUUCUUUGCAAAACAGUUCCUUGGUCAAGUAAGUUUAGGAAGUAUGAAGUUACACAAUAAAUAUAUUUUCAAUUGCAGGGCAUCCCAGAGCCGGCAAUAUCCAACAGCAGGAGAGUGUGGGUGGUGUUUCUCAAAGAUAUUUGAUCAUGGACCCCCCACCCCAUUGUUAUUGUCUGUUAGUGUCUUGAGAAUCUAGUGGUCUGUAGUGUACAGCUGGGGGCAUGCCACACCAGAUGAGUGUUCAAGCCCAGCCCACCUCCAUGGUCAACUGAUGAGCAGUAAUUCCAACUAUGGAACUUUGGCUUCAGGGGACAUGUAGAAGGCUGGAAUUCAAAGGACUCUUGGCCCUCAUACCCCAUUUUCAUCAACUAGACUUCUGAGUCAGUUUUAUCUUGGCAAGUGCUUUCUGGUACUAAAUACAAAACAGGAGAUCCAGUCUAUUGAGGAAAAGGUGCUGGAAUGUCAUAUUGUGGGCAUUGUGGGGACAGUUUUAGGGUCACAAGAUCAAGAGGGCUGUGUUCACACAUCUGCUGUAAAAGCUCCUCGGCAGCUUUGGGUGGGUAUUUUUGGCCCUCAUCACACCUUAGAAUUGCCUAGGGAUCUUUGACAAGAAGAUCCAGGCUUGAGAUCCAGGCUUUAGGUCACAGCACUACAGGAUUAUUUGCUGUGUGGCUACUUUGAAAAACAUUCCUCAAUUGAUUUGCCAAAACACAUCGUGUGAAACUUGGGGCAAGUCUCUCUGAUAUGAUUUCAGUUCACUGUUUUGUCCAUUUGGCUGGGAUGACAUUAGAGUAUAAUGCAUAUGGAAACCAACUUCAUGCAUCAUAAACUACCAACCCCUCUAAGAGGCGGUCAUCAACACAGAUCACACCAGUGGGGGAACCAGAAUAUUAUUGUUGCUUCAUUCACUCAGGGGUCCACUAGGCCAUGUGCUUACUCAAGGUGUGGGUGAAUCUUAUUAAUGCUUCUCUUAUAAAGCCUAACCAGUUGCUACACAAAGCAGAAAUUCAAUAGUUGCUGCAGAAUUAAGGAACAGGUAAAAGGUUAGUUGGACUUCCCUGGCUCAGUGGUAGAGAAUCCACCUUCCAAGCAGGAGAUGUGGGUUCAAUCCCUGGGUCGGGAAGAUUCCCUGGGAGAGGAAAUGGCAACCCACCCCAGUAUCUUUGCCUAGGAAAUCCCACCAACAGAGGAGCCUGACUGACUACAGUCCAUAGGGUCCUGAAAGAGUUGCACAUGACUUAGUGACUAAACAAGGACAAAGAAAGGAGGGAUAGAAGACUGCUAGGAUCUGAAAGGAAUGCAAUUGUAGAUAAGAUAAAGUUCCUUAUGUUGGGGAAUUCAAGAGCUGGAAGAGGUAAACAGAAACAUGCAAAUAACUUGAGUGGAGUAUAGUAAGUAUUACAAAAGAAGCAGACGAAAACAGUUUUGGAGUUUCUUAGGACAGAGAACUCAACAGAGUAGAGCUGAUCAGCUCAGUUCAGUUCAGUCGCUCAGUUUCAGACACGACUGAGGGACUGAACUGAACUGAUAGUAUGGUUAACUAUAGACACAAUGUUGUACAGUAGACCUCAACAAAUUGUUAAUCUUUUGAAGCUUUAAACCCAUAGGUCACUGAUCUCUGGAACGUAAUCUUCUUGCAUGACAAAGGCUGUACUCUUCUAAUCUUUGAGCCUGUGAAUUUGACUGUGUUAGAUACCUCACAUACACAGACUCAUACUGUUAACUGCAACAACAGACAAGCGUUGGUGAGGAUGUAGAGAAACUGGAACCCUUUACACUGUUGGGGUUGCGAAAUGGUGCAGCUGCCAUAGGAAACAGUAUGGAAGGUCCUCAGAACAUUACCAGUAGAACCCUUUGCUCUUCAGAUGCAGUACUUCAAUGCUUCUCACUGUGUUUGGAAUGAAAUCCAAACUGGUAACUACAGCCUGAAAGACCUCGCACAGUCUCUCCCUUCCCUCUUCUAUCUCACGUUCUCCUUGUUCACUCCUCCAACCACCAUGAUCUUUCAGUUCCCCCAACACCCGAUCUGCUGCUUCUCUGAGAGUCUCUGCUCAAGCUAUUCUGUCUUCUUGAGAUCCUCUGCCCCUGCUGUGUCUCAAUUGAAAGCUCACCUUCUCAUGGAGGCCAUUCUUGACCAUCAUGUUAGUCUGUGUCAGGGUGCUCUGCCUUAUAUUUUCCUUCAGGAGUUUCAUCAUAAGAAGGAAAUAUUAAUCUGCUCCUCUAAUUGUUACCGUGAA
This is a long non-coding RNA of Bos taurus (domestic cattle), 2704 nucleotides long. The record is from Ensembl. NCBI's taxonomy places the organism in Eukaryota, Metazoa, Chordata, Mammalia, Artiodactyla, Bovidae.